Molecule: ribosomal RNA, 479 nt
Filed under: uncultured bacterium
Lineage: Bacteria
Description: bacterial SSU rRNA
Rfam family: Bacterial small subunit ribosomal RNA
Source: RNAcentral
GGAUGAACGCUAGCGGCAAGGCUUAAACACAUGCAAGUCGAGGGGUAUGGUUUCGGACCAAGAGACCGGCGCACGGGUGCGUAACGCGUAUGCAAUCUACCUUUGCAGAGGGAUAGCCCAGAGAAAUUUGGAUUAAUACCUUAUAGUAAUACGACUUGGCAUCAAGAUGUAUUUAAAGAUUUAUCGGUGAAAGAUGAGCAUGCGUCCCAUUAGCUUGUUGGUAAGGUAACGGCUUACCAAGGCAACGAUGGGUAGGGGUCCUGAGAGGGAGAUCCCCCCACACUGGUACUGAGACACGGACCAGACUCCUACGGGAGGCAGCAGUGAGGAAUAUUGGACAAUGGGCGCAAGCCUGAUCCAGCCAUGCCGCGUGCAGGAUGACGGUCCUAUGGAUUGUAAACUGCUUUUGUACAGGAAGAAACCCUUUCACGUGUGGAAGAUUGACGGUACUGUAAGAAUAAGGAUCGGCUAACUCCGUG